AUCGAACGCUGGCGGCAGGCCUAACACAUGCAAGUCGAACGAGUGGCGGACGGGUGAGUAAGGUCUGGGAAACUGGCCGAUGGAGGGGGAUAACUACUGGAAACCGUAGCUAAUACCGCAAACCAUCGGAUGUGGCCAGAUGGGAUUAGCGAGUAGGUGGGGUAACGGCUCACCAAGGCGUCGAUCCCUAGCUGGUCUGAGAGGAUGACCAGCCACACUGGAACUGAGACACGGUCCAGACUCCUACGGGAGGCAGCAGUGGGGAAUAUUGCACAAUGGGCGCAAGCCUGAUGCAGCAAUGCCGCGUGUAUGAAGAAGGCCUUCGGGUUGUAAAGUACUUUCAGCGGGGAGGCGUUACUCGCAGAAGAAGCAUCGGCUAACUCCGUGCCAGCCGCCGCGGUAAUAC
RNAcentral lists this ribosomal RNA (406 nucleotides) under uncultured bacterium. RNAcentral describes it as "partial 16S ribosomal RNA". It matches the Rfam family "Bacterial small subunit ribosomal RNA", at positions 30 to 526 of the family's 1533-position model. The record is from RNAcentral.